Molecule: unclassified non-coding RNA, 345 nt
Filed under: soil metagenome
Description: partial contains 5.8S ribosomal RNA, internal transcribed spacer 2, and large subunit ribosomal RNA
Rfam family: 5.8S ribosomal RNA (bases 1-120)
Source: RNAcentral
GAUGAAGAACGUAGCGAAAUGCGAUACGUAAUGUGAAUUGCAGAAUUCAGUGAAUCAUCGAGUCUUUGAACGCACAUUGCGCCCCCUGGUAUUCCGGGGGGCAUGCCUGUCCGAGCGUCAUUGCUGCCCUCAAGCACGGCUUGUGUGUUGGGCCUCCGUCCUCCUCCCGGGGGACGGGCCCGAAAGGCAGCGGCGGCACCGCGUCCGGUCCUCGAGCGUAUGGGGCUUCGUCACCCGCUCUUGUAGGCCCNGCCGGCGCUUGCCGACACAUCAAUCUUUUUUCCAGGUUGACCUCGGAUCAGGUAGGGAUACCCGCUGAACUUAAGCAUAUCAAUAAGCGGACGA